AGACUAUGAUGAAGACAACAUCGAAGUAAUUCUUUGUAUCUUUCCCAAGCUUCAUACAACGAUUCAGAAUCUUGCUGCAUAAAUGAUGUGAUAUCAUUCGUCACUUU
Molecule: small nucleolar RNA, 107 nt
Organism: Theobroma cacao (cacao)
Lineage: Eukaryota; Viridiplantae; Streptophyta; Magnoliopsida; Malvales; Malvaceae
Rfam family: Plant small nucleolar RNA R71
About the family: R71 is a member of the C/D box family of snoRNAs containing the C (UGAUGA) and D (CUGA) box motifs. Multiple nearly identical copies of this snoRNA have been identified in Arabidopsis, and it is thought to function as a 2'-O-ribose methylation guide for 18S ribosomal RNA.
Source: Rfam